CCACGCCGCGGUAAUUCCAGCGCCAGGGACUAGCGUAUAUUAAAGUUGUUGCAGUUAAAAAGCUUCGUAGUUGAAUUUCGGGAUCAAUGUUUCGGUCAUGCCGUUGGUAUGUACUGAUAUUAUUGAUUUCUCACCUUCUAAAGAACCGUAAUGCCAUUAAUUUGGUGUCACGGGGAAAUUAGGACCGUUA
This 190-nucleotide ribosomal RNA is filed under the name uncultured Glomus. Its description in RNAcentral is "partial 18S ribosomal RNA". The record is from RNAcentral. Lineage: Eukaryota; Fungi; Glomeromycota; Glomeromycetes; Glomerales; Glomeraceae.